Molecule: ribosomal RNA, 253 nt
Filed under: uncultured bacterium
Lineage: Bacteria
Description: partial 16S ribosomal RNA
Rfam family: Bacterial small subunit ribosomal RNA
Source: RNAcentral
UACGGAGGGUGCAAGCGUUAAUCGGAAUUACUGGGCGUAAAGCGCACGCAGGUGGCUGAGUCAGUCGAUUGUGAAAGCCCUGGGCUUAACCUGGGAAUUGCAGUCGAUACUACUCAGCUAGAGUAUGGGAGAGGGUAGUGGAAUUCCCGGUGUAGCGGUGAAAUGCGUAGAUAUCAGGAGGAACACCGGCGGUGUAGACGGCUUUCUGGACCACGACUGACGCUGAGAUACGAAAGCGUGGGUAGCAAACAGG